GACGAACGCUGGCGGCGUGCUUAACACAUGCAAGUCGAACGGAAAGGCCCUGCUUUUGUGGGGUGCUCGAGUGGCGAACGGGUGAGUAACACGUGAGUAACCUGCCCUUGACUUUGGGAUAACUUCAGGAAACUGGGGCUAAUACCGGAUAGGAGCUCCUGCUGCAUGGUGGGGGUUGGAAAGUUUCGGCGGUUGGGGAUGGACUCGCGGCUUAUCAGCUUGUUGGUGGGGUAGUGGCUUACCAAGGCUUUGACGGGUAGCCGGCCUGAGAGGGUGACCGGCCACAUUGGGACUGAGAUAGGGCCCAGACUCCUACGGGAGGCAGCAGUGGGGAAUAUUGCACAAUGGGCGGAAGCGUGAUGCAGCAACGCCGCGUGCGGGAUGACGGCCUUCGGGUUGUAAACCGCUUUCGCCGGUGACGAAGCGUGAGUGACGGUAAUGGGUAAAGAAGCACCGGCUAACUACGUG
RNAcentral lists this ribosomal RNA (468 nucleotides) under uncultured bacterium. RNAcentral's name for it is "partial 16S ribosomal RNA". It matches the Rfam family "Bacterial small subunit ribosomal RNA", at positions 28 to 507 of the family's 1533-position model. The record is from RNAcentral.